GCUAUGUUGGACAUUCCUACUCCUGAGCGUUUUGCCUUGGUUGCCAUUCCUCAGGUUGGGCUUGUUCCACAGAGUGGUAAAGCACAGUCUGGUGCUAGCAGUGGGCCUAUUAAUCAAGAGUCACUCCGAUGUGAUCAUUGUCACAACACCGGCCAUACCAGGGAUUUCUGUUGGAAGCUACAUGGCCGUCCCUCUCGUGAGCGAAGGGGUGGACACGGUAGUCGAGGUCGUGGCCCCAUGCGUUCUCAGGCCUAGGCCCAUGUUUCGGAGUCUACAUGGGUUGCUAGCUUGCCUGAUUCUGGGUUCAGUACUGGGGUUCAGGCGUCUUCUGAUCAUGUUAGUGGUUUUUCUCAGGAGGAAAUGCAAGCUCUCCGGCACCUAAUGGCUCGGGCUGAUUCUCCAUCUACUAUAGCUCCUACUUCUAUAGCAAGUCCCACUUCAUCCUAUUUUGCUCACACAGGAUAAGGUCAGGAUAGCAGAUGGAUCAUUCUCUACUAUUUCAGGGAAAGGUUUCGUUCGCUAUUCUCCCUCUAUUUCCCUCUCUUUAGUUCUACAUAUUCCAAACUUUGCCACUAACCUUCUGUCCGUUAAUAGUCUUACACGUUCUGCAAAUUGUUCAGUGACAUUUUUUCCUACUCAUUGUGUUUUUCAGGAACUGGACACGGGCAAAGUGAUUGGCAGUGGUAAAGCACAGGAUGGCCUCUAUUUUUUGGAGUCUGCACCUCGUUCACCUAUGUCAUGUGGUCUUGCUCUACAA
Molecule: long non-coding RNA, 757 nt
Organism: Rhododendron vialii
Lineage: Eukaryota; Viridiplantae; Streptophyta; Magnoliopsida; Ericales; Ericaceae
Exons: 2
Source: RefSeq, a predicted model, not a curated record